RNAcentral lists this non-coding RNA (45 nucleotides) under Schistosoma margrebowiei. The record is from RNAcentral. Lineage: Eukaryota; Metazoa; Platyhelminthes; Trematoda; Strigeidida; Schistosomatidae.
AUCCAGCUGACGAGUCUCAAAAAUAACUAAACGCGCGUCCUGAAU